GAUCUAUAAAGUUCAAAUUUGCAUAGUCUUCAUCGAUUUUAUAGUGUGUAAAUUUAUAAACUGAGUACCAAAGAUUCGUAGGGCGUGCGUAUUGUAGAAUGUGUAAGCUUCCAAAUCGAAAGUCCAAGUUAAAUACGAAAUAGUAGAAACCGAAGGUGAAGAGAAAGAUAGUGGAAUCUGAUGAUUAUGAUGCUAGUGUUAAAAGAGAUAAUUGCCUAGUUAUCGUCUUUUUUUUUUUUUUAGGAAAGACUUGAGAACUUUAGGUUUUGUUUUUGUUUCUAAUCAAAUCACUUAACGUCCUAAUUAAUUAUGCGUUGAUGUAUUUUAAAUUUUAAAUUU
Molecule: small RNA, 339 nt
Filed under: Arabidopsis thaliana (thale cress)
Lineage: Eukaryota; Viridiplantae; Streptophyta; Magnoliopsida; Brassicales; Brassicaceae
Description: ATSL283760
Source: RNAcentral